This 551-nucleotide ribosomal RNA is filed under the name uncultured bacterium. Its description in RNAcentral is "partial 16S ribosomal RNA". It matches the Rfam family "Bacterial small subunit ribosomal RNA", at positions 355 to 920 of the family's 1533-position model. The record is from RNAcentral.
UGGGGAAUAUUGGACAAUGGGCGCAAGCCUGAUCCAGCCAUGCCGCGUGAGUGAUGAAGGCCCUAGGGUUGUAAAGCUCUUUCAGCGAGGAGGAUAAUGACGUUACUCGCAGAAGAAGCCCCGGCUAACUUCGUGCCAGCAGCCGCGGUAAUACGAAGGGGGCUAGCGUUGUUCGGAAUCACUGGGCGUAAAGCGCACGUAGGCGGACUUUUAAGUCAGGGGUGAAAUCCCGGGGCUCAACCUCGGAACUGCCUUUGAUACUGGAAGUCUGGAGUCCGAGAGAGGUGAGUGGAACUCCGAGUGUAGAGGUGAAAUUCGUAGAUAUUCGGAAGAACACCAGUGGCGAAGGCGGCUCACUGGCUCGGUACUGACGCUGAGGUGCGAAAGCGUGGGGAGCAAAACAGGAUUAGAUACCCUGGUAGUCCACGCCGUAAAACGAUGGAAGCUAGCCGUCAGGGUGCAUGCAUCUUGGUGGCGCAGUUAACGCAUUAAGCUUCCCGCCUGGGGAGUACGGUCGCAAGAGUUAAAAACUCAAAGGAAUUGACGGGGUC